CGCGUAGGCGGGAUGGCAAGUCGGUCGUGAAAUCCUUCGGCUCAACCGAAGAACGUCGGCCGAUACUGCCGUUCUUGAGGGAUGCAGAGGAGACUGGAAUUCCCGGUGUAGCGGUGAAAUGUGUAGAGAUCGGGAGGAACACCGGUGGCGAAGGCGGGUCUCUGGGCAUCUCCUGACGCUGAGGCGCGAAAGCGUGGGGAGCAAACGGGAUUAGAUACCCCGGUAGUCCACGCCAUAAACGAUGACGACUAGGUGUGGGGUGGUUCAGUCCACUCCGUGCCGCAGCUAACGCAUUAAGUCGUCCGCCGUGGGGAGUACGGCCGCAAGGUUGAA
This 333-nucleotide ribosomal RNA is filed under the name uncultured bacterium. RNAcentral describes it as "bacterial SSU rRNA". It matches the Rfam family "Bacterial small subunit ribosomal RNA", at positions 568 to 898 of the family's 1533-position model. The record is from RNAcentral.